GCGUGGAAGGCGCUGGGUGGCCAACUGACGAACUGUGUUCACCUGAUAAGGAGUCGUGGCUGCUUGGACAGGCUCAAACCAAGAGAGCCUUUCGUUUUGUCUCCCCUGUUUUUCUGCCUGCGUUUUCUCCACAUUAGCCACUCAAUUUCCAGUACCAUCCUGGCGGAUGACUUCAGCAUUAGAUGGUCAGGUGUAUUUUUUUAUUAAUAGGCGCAUUCAGUUUGGAAAAGACAGCUUUUCAUUAAUGUCCCACGUAAAGGAAUAUGGCCUAUACAGUACGUACGCUGCUGCGUGGUCAUAUUUGUUCCUGUGAUCUUAUUGUAUUUUCAAAGUUUGGAAGUAUACUCGUGUGCUUUGCUGUUUUUUUAUGCUUCCUGGAAUUUGGGGACUCAUGAGAGACUUGAGGUUAGAGUUCUGCAAGUGAGAAGACACUACAUGGUUGCAGCUGCCACAUGAAGAACCCAAGCUCCUGUCAAAGUUGUGAAUGCGACUUUGGAUGAGAUUAAGAAGGCCCAGUGGACGGUUGGUCUUGAAGAGUGGCAGUGUGUGGAUUUGAGGACCUCUGCAGACCAUCAGAUCAAAGGAGGGAGAGCUGUUUUGGGUGUUUUGUUUUUUUUGUUUUUAUAGCAUUUUGCUUUUUCUUGGAAUGUAAUUUUCCUAUGGCAUGUUAACUGGUGCACAUCGUGUAACCUGUCUGGUGAGCAACCUACAAUUGGGAUGAGUUCUAGGUACAUGUGUUUGCUGACUUUGGGGUAAACAACUUUGUUAUAAUACAGUCUCUGCCACAGAUGCAUGUGACCUCUUCAGGGGCCCAGAGUGGCUGAGGAAGGAAAGCUUCAAGCUGGCCAUGGGGGUCCCAAACAGUCAUUCCAGGCUUAGAUGAUGACUAGCCUAGGUCAUCAGAGCCCAGACUCCACAGAGACUAAAAUCAGAGCUCUGUCUUGUUAUGAUAAAUUUCAUUUGCUUGGAAAAAGAAAUGCUGAAAGCCAGUGUUUAGAAUCUUUGUGCAGAUGACCAAAGCAAUUGACUUGGCCAAGAAAAG
Molecule: long non-coding RNA, 1042 nt
Filed under: Homo sapiens (human)
Lineage: Eukaryota; Metazoa; Chordata; Mammalia; Primates; Hominidae
Description: non-protein coding lnc-MRFAP1-2:6
Source: RNAcentral